UACGUAGGGGGCAAGAGUUGUCCGGAUUUAUUGGGCGUAAAGAGCGUGUAGGCGGCCAUGUAGGUCCGUUGUGAAAACUCGAGGCUCAACCUCGAGACGCCGAUGGAAACCAUGUGGCUAGAGUCCGGAAGAGGAGAGUGGAAUUCCUGGUGUAGCGGUGAAAUGCGCAGAUAUCAGGAAGAACACCCGUGGCUAAGGCGGCUCUCUAGUACGGUACUGACGCUGAGACGCGAAAGCGUGGGGAGCGAACAGG
This 253-nucleotide ribosomal RNA is filed under the name uncultured bacterium. Its description in RNAcentral is "partial 16S ribosomal RNA". It matches the Rfam family "Bacterial small subunit ribosomal RNA", at positions 524 to 776 of the family's 1533-position model. The record is from RNAcentral.